CCUACGGGGGGCAGCAGUGGGGAAUAUUGGACAAUGGGGGGAACCCUGAUCCAGCCAUGCCGCGUGUGUGAAGAAGGCCCUCGGGUUGUAAAGCACUUUCAGUGAGGAAGAACGCCUGGUGGUUAAUACCCAUCAGGAAAGACAUCACUCACAGAAGAAGCACCGGCUAACUCCGUGCCAGCAGCCGCGGUAAUACGGAGGGUGCGAGCGUUAAUCGGAAUUACUGGGCGUAAAGCGCGCGUAGGUGGCUUGAUAAGCCGGUUGUGAAAGCCCCGGGCUCAACCUGGGAACGGCAUCCGGAACUGUCAAGCUAGAGUGCAGGAGAGGAAGGUAGAAUUCCCGGUGUAGCGGUGAAAUGCGUAGAGAUCGGGAGGAAUACCAGUGGCGAAGGCGGCCUUCUGGACUGACACUGACGCUGAGGUGCGAAAGCGUGGGUAGCAAACAGGAUUAGAUACCCCUGUAGUC
Molecule: ribosomal RNA, 465 nt
Filed under: Vreelandella stevensii
Lineage: Bacteria; Pseudomonadati; Pseudomonadota; Gammaproteobacteria; Oceanospirillales; Halomonadaceae
Description: partial 16S ribosomal RNA
Rfam family: Bacterial small subunit ribosomal RNA
Source: RNAcentral